UACACAUUUUAUGUCGCUAUUGAAACAUCGAUAACAUGCUGAUAGGGACGUUUUGUCAAGUAAUACGCUGAUUUGGAUAGAGCAUCUUGGGAACGUGGUUCCCAUCAUAACAAUUGUUGUUCAUGCAAAUGAUGAUAUCCCAGCCAGCCUGUUGAGCCCAGGUAUUGAGCGAAAGGUCUCGUCAGCAAUGGAUAUGGUUGUUUAAGUGUGAUUGACAUACUGAAUUUGAUGAGAUUCGAAGUUAGGAUUAUACUUAUCAUCAGGGCUGUUUUAUGCAAUAGACAAAAGGAGUUGUUGCCCAGGGCCCACCGUGCGUUGCGAAUGUAAUAAUAAGUAAUAAAAUACAAAUUGUAUAAUAAAAUAAUAAUAAACCAGAUUUUUUAAAAUA
Molecule: long non-coding RNA, 388 nt
Organism: Limulus polyphemus (Atlantic horseshoe crab)
Lineage: Eukaryota; Metazoa; Arthropoda; Merostomata; Xiphosura; Limulidae
Exons: 3
Source: RefSeq, a predicted model, not a curated record